GUGUCAGCCGCCGCGGUAAGACGAACCGUGCGAACGUUGUUCGGAAUCACUGGGCUUAAAGGGCGCGUAGGCGGAUCAGCAAGUCCGGGGUGAAAUACUUCAGCUUAACUGGAGAAGUGCCUUGGAUACUGCUGGUCUCGAGGGAGGUAGGGGUCAUUGGAACUUCUGGUGGAGCGGUGAAAUGCGUUGAUAUCAGAAGGAACGCCGGUGGCGAAAGCGAAUGACUGGAUCUCUUCUGACGCUGAGGCGCGAAAGCUAGGGGAGCGAACGGGAUUAGAUACCCCCGUAGUCC
This 292-nucleotide ribosomal RNA is filed under the name uncultured bacterium. Its description in RNAcentral is "partial 16S ribosomal RNA". It matches the Rfam family "Bacterial small subunit ribosomal RNA", at positions 505 to 796 of the family's 1533-position model. The record is from RNAcentral.